UAGUUUUACAGAUGGGAAAUCUAACUCGCAUGAGAAAUAACCAUUCAUUAUAGUAUGACUGAUUUGAUGUCGAAAACGAGGAAUUAAAAUAAAGCAGAAAAAGCAAAAAGAAUAAAAGGAAGCCUACAGCACCCCGGAUUCCCAUGUUGUCUCCAACCAUAGUACUAACGAGGCCCUCAGACGCUUAACUGCAGUGAUCGGACGGGAACUGGUGUUUUCGCCUAGGUAUGGCCGUA
Non-coding RNA from Schizosaccharomyces pombe (fission yeast), 236 nucleotides. Lineage: Eukaryota; Fungi; Ascomycota; Schizosaccharomycetes; Schizosaccharomycetales; Schizosaccharomycetaceae. The record is from the annotation of a GenBank genome assembly.